UUAGAUAUUGCUAAACUGAAAAAACAAGUUUUUGAGGCAUCUCAGGCUCAUCUCACCCUAUUGCCUGGAGCUGAUAUUCUUGCUGGAGCCUCUGAUGGCCUUUCUAAUACCAAUCCUUUAAAGUGGAUUGAAACCAUAGGUGGAUCAACAAUUGCAAAUUUUAUUUUGGUUUGUGUCUGUUUAUGUUGCUUGUUUUUAGUCUACAGAUGCAGAUGGUGCCUUGGGAGAGAAACCAGACACCAUGAAUGAGCCAUAAUAGCAAUGGCAGUUAUUAAUAAAAAAAAAUCAAUAGAGGCAAAAAAGGGGAACAUGUGGGAAAGUGUUUCUGGGGUGCCAGUUGAGUUGGUCUCCCCUGUGUGAGACACCCAUGGGAAGCCAUGGGCAGCCUCUGGGGAGAAAAGUCUCCUUAUUGCUUUCAUGUCUUUAUGCCCCAAGAGCAUAACCACUCAGCAGCAUUCCACAGGUUGCUCAGGGAGACAACACUCCCUUGAAGCAGUGGAGUAUAAUCAAACAUCUUGGCUCCUCCUUAAACCCGCUCCCACCCAUUUCAGUCCUGAUAAGCUAAAGAUCUUAAGUAGUUUAGACACACGCCUUUGCUCAAGGAAAUUCACAGAAACCGCCACUGCUACACAUCUUAUGGAAUGACUCACGAGUUCUCCUUCACUGAUUAAUCCUUUUCCUCAUCCCUUCCUCCCCCUCCCAUCUGCCCUAAGAACAAAGAGCUUGUAAACCAGUAAAUUUGGCAGAGCUCAAGAGCUCUGGGCCGUGAGCAAGCCUCCGAUAUUCUGGUCCCCUGAACCCGCCUUUUAAAUGCUUAUUCUGUCUCUUUCUAACUCCUAUGUCUCCACCAGACUCAGGGUACCCACUGGGUGGUGUGGGGCUGGUUUCCCUAACAUUCCCCACCAAAUAAAGCAGCUCCAACCUUCUAGAUGGUUGCUCAGCUCAGAAGUCUUAGAGAAAUUCUGAUGCCUCUCCUCACAUUUGCUCUGUCGGCAAAUCCUGGUGUCACAAGAGGGCUCAGGAGGGUUUCUGGAUGCCAACGAGACCCCAGCCACAGCCGGUCCCCAGAUUCUUGACAUCAUCACAAGAAAGAAUUCACAGAUCGCUUAGCUCCAUCCAACAUGGAAAGGGAUCAGACACGGGCAUCAUUGCCAGAUGAUAAUCCCUGAUGGUCAUCUUGGAUGCUGGCCACCACAGUUACAUUUGAGAUGGUGCACAAGAAGGCUCUCGCCAGAUGCUGGUCUUGUGAUCUUGGACUUCCCAGCCUCCAGAACUAGAAGCUGGCAUCGCUUGGGGGAAGAUGUACACUGCAAACUGUCUACAGAGCUAGUUACAAUAUUUCAUCUACGUCAUGAGCUUUGGGGAUGAGCUAGAGAUGAAACUCCCCAAGGCCAGAGAAGAUGGCAGAGCCAUGAGAUGGAAGGCGCCUGGGCCGCUGAAUCACCACAUGGAAGGUCACUCAUGACAGGAUCCUCGAAGGACCAUGGUGCAAGAAAGAAGUAAGAUUCUGGUCCAGGCUCGGUGGCUCAUGCCUGUAAUCCCAGCACUUUGGGAGGCUGAGAUGGGAAAAUUGCCUGAGGCCAGGAG
RNAcentral lists this long non-coding RNA (1587 nucleotides) under Homo sapiens (human). Its description in RNAcentral is "HSALNT0384842". The record is from RNAcentral. Lineage: Eukaryota; Metazoa; Chordata; Mammalia; Primates; Hominidae.